ACAAAUUGUGUCGAUCGUACCACCGGCCAAACCGGGUAUUUACAAGCCUAUUGUAGCGCCUCUUAUAUUUCCGGCUGACAAAAAUCUGUUUGAUUUAUCCAGUUGGACGACAGAAUAUGAUUGGGAUACCGUAUACAAAUCGUUUGAUGAUUACUUUGUUAAUAAUCUUGCACUCUUCGAUUCGCAUCAGAUUAUUACAGAUUAUCAAGGAUUUCUCAAUGAGUUUCAUAAACGAUCUUUAAGGCAUAUAGGCUCAAAAAACGACAUGAAUCAACAACAUUGCCAAAGUUGAAAGUAUCAGACUUCGAAACCAAAUGUCAAGUAAAAGAAGCUCACUAAUCUUUCUUCUCAAUAAUAAUAACAAUAUUAAUUGUCAUUAUUCCUAUAAAAGAAAUGGAAAGAAGUGAAAAAUUGGGAAAUUACAAAAUUCUUAUGUUUAACUAAAUUAGGGACAAUAAAUAAAUAAUAAUUAAACAAAAUCUUGUAAUUUUGUUUAAAAUAAAAUUAUUUUUGUUAUCUCUAUAUGUUUAUAAAGGGAUUACAUAAUCGUUUAUAUUAUUCAUAAAUUAAAUCUCUGUAUAUCAAAGAAAAUGUUUUUAAAUCUCGCAUUUAUCUAUAAUUCUGAUACAUUCUUACGGUAUUAUUAAUGUAUGUACUUUAUCUUUAUGGCAAAUUUUAUUAGGGCACUGCGCAUGCAUGCGCAUAAAGCAUUUCUCACGACCAAAUCACUAGAUUUUAUCUUACAAGAUUUAAUCUUAUCCAUUUAAUGAUUUGCAAAGUCAUGGAGCAAUAAUGUACAAUAUUAUUAAUUGUAUCUCGUCACGAUAUUAUUUCCAAUCCAAUGAGUGAUCUCAAAACUCAUCGCACAUCAAAAUUCAUCAUAAGUAAAAUAUUGUAUACGAUUCAUGAAGUUCUACGUUUAAUGUAGAUAAUCUACAUCAAUAUUCGUUUAUUAUGUUAGAAUUAUUUCUUUAACGAAAUAGCUGACAGAAUUGCAGCACACAUUAUAAAAUCUUGAUUCUCUUUUUGUGUUGUUGCGUCAGUCUUCUCGUACAAUACGAAAACGUAGGGCGUUCAAAUAUCAUCGUACGAAUUGCAUAAGACAAAAAUAUUCGAUUUGAAUGAUUACAACUGUUGUUCUCUCAUGAUCAUAGUAAUUAUAAAUUAACGUAUAUAUAAUUAAUAAUUUUGAAUCCAUGUACUUGUAUGAUCAUUAUUUGGUAAAAUACAACUAGAAUCAUAAAUAAAUAAAUAUUUAUUUAUCA
Molecule: long non-coding RNA, 1265 nt
Organism: Pogonomyrmex barbatus (red harvester ant)
Lineage: Eukaryota; Metazoa; Arthropoda; Insecta; Hymenoptera; Formicidae
Source: RefSeq, a predicted model, not a curated record